UUUGUGUUUUAUUAUGCGAUCGUGUACAGUGCAUUUUUUGACAUGUAUAUGUGUGUUUAUCACGAGCUGGUUUGCGUUGAAAGACAGCAUAAGUGCUUUUCAUCUUCAUAUACUACUUUGCGUUAUCGGGUAUCAAUUGCUAAUAUCCAACGGAAUUAACUGCCUUCAUGGAGACAGAUGGUUCAGCUCUAGACUUAAAAAUCGUCGUCGAAUGCACUGGAUUUUACAAACUUUAGGGUCUAUAUUGGCAAUACUUGGAUCCUGCAUUAUGAUAAAGCAGAAAACGGUUAAUUUUACGUCUAUACAUGGAAAAUUAGCGUUAGCAGCACUCAUCUUGACCCUCUUCAGCAUUUUCAACGGAGUUACAUCGCUGUGCAACGCUUUUCGCCGAUUUUCCUUUGUAAAGUACAGUCACCUCUUCUGCGGCACCAGUGCCUUUGUAAUUUCCUCAAUUUGCCUAUGUUUCGGCUUCACCAAGGAGUCUUUUAUACGGUGGUCUUCAGAAUUCACAGCUUACAUUUUGAUUCUACUAGUUCUGGUUUAUACCGGUAUUAUUGUGCGGAAACCAUAUCGUAAUGUAUGGAGGUUUUUAAACAAUAAAACAAAUGUUAAAUUACAUAGAAAUCUUAUUAGUUAUUCAAGGUAAAAAAUGUUUGUAUACAAUAUUUUUUGUAUCAAUAGUUUUUGUAAAUGGAGUAAAUACUUUUGAUAUAUAUUCCAUUUUCAAUAAGGAAUUCUAUAAAUUUAAUUUUAGGAUAAUGUAAAACAUAGGUUACUUUAUAUUAUCUGUAAUAUUUUGGGUUGUAAACGUAAAAUAUUGACUGAUUAACGACAAUAACAAUCUGAUAAAAUAUCAAUAGUACUUAGUUAUUACAUUGAUUGAAUUGAAUCGAAAUAUAGAAAAUGUUUCCAUAUUUUUAAAUGUUAAUCAUACAUUUGUAUGAAAAUAAAAAUAACUAGAGGCGAUAUUGUUUUCGACAUAUCAAUUUUGCGUAAACAGGUAUUAUUGAAGCUUCAACUAAAAUAAAACAUUUCCCAGUAUUUCAUUCAACUGUAACUAUAGUUAAGUGAUAUUAUAAUAUUUUAAAAUUGACGUGAAUAAAUUGAACUAUAUAUUGUUUU
Pieris napi is the source of this 1122-nucleotide long non-coding RNA. RefSeq lists it as uncharacterized. Lineage: Eukaryota; Metazoa; Arthropoda; Insecta; Lepidoptera; Pieridae. The record is from RefSeq and is a predicted model, not a curated record. The transcript has 3 exons.